RNAcentral lists this long non-coding RNA (241 nucleotides) under Lathyrus oleraceus (garden pea). RNAcentral's name for it is "Pisum sativum (pea) long non-coding RNA (PSAT_LNC026529)". The record is from RNAcentral. Lineage: Eukaryota; Viridiplantae; Streptophyta; Magnoliopsida; Fabales; Fabaceae.
UUAACAUACCCUUCCUUUUGGUUAAUCACCGAUUAUCGGUUAAAAUACCACUUUUUCCUUCUUUGGGUUAAUCACCUCUUAUGGUUAACAUACCUUUUUUUGUUAAUCACCGUCUAUUGGUUAAAAUAUCACUUUUUCCUUCUAUGGGUUAAUCACCUUCUUGGUUAACAUACCCUUUCUUUUGGUUAAUCACCGAUUCUCGGUUAAAAUUUCACUUUCUUUCUUUGGGUUAAUUACCUUC